GUGCUUAACACAUGCAAGUCGAGUGCGCGGUAGCAAUACUGGCGCACGGCGCACGGGUGCGUAACACGUGGGCAAUCUACCCUCGAGUGGGGAAUAACCCGCCGAAAGGCGGGCUAAUACCGCAUGACAUUCCUUGGACUUCGGUUCGAGGACUCAAAGCCGUAAGGCGCUUGAGGAGGAGCCCGCGGCCGAUUAGCUAGUUGGCGGGGUAACGGCCCACCAAGGCGAUGAUCGGUAGCUGGUCUGAGAGGACGGCCGGCCACACUGGAACUGAGACACGGUCCAG
RNAcentral lists this ribosomal RNA (286 nucleotides) under uncultured bacterium. RNAcentral describes it as "partial 16S ribosomal RNA". It matches the Rfam family "Bacterial small subunit ribosomal RNA", at positions 44 to 334 of the family's 1533-position model. The record is from RNAcentral.